Molecule: ribosomal RNA, 384 nt
Filed under: uncultured bacterium
Lineage: Bacteria
Description: bacterial SSU rRNA
Rfam family: Bacterial small subunit ribosomal RNA
Source: RNAcentral
AUUGAACGCUGGCGGCAUGCCUUACACAUGCAAGUCGAACGGCAGCACGGACUUCGGUCUGGUGGCGAGUGGCGAACGGGUGAGUAAUGUAUCGGAACGUACCUUUCAGUGGGGAUAACGUAGCGAAAGUUACGCUAAUACCGCAUAUUCUGUGAGCAGGAAAGCAGGGGAUCGCAAGACCUUGCGCUGAUUGAGCGGCCGAUAUCAGAUUAGCUAGUUGGUGAGGUAAAGGCUCACCAAGGCGACGAUCUGUAGCGGGUCUGAGAGGAUGAUCCGCCACACUGGAACUGAGACACGGUCCAGACUCCUACGGGAGGCAGCAGUGGGAAUUUUGGACAAUGGGGGCAACCCUGAUCCAGCCAUGCCGCGUGAGUGAAGAAGGCC